Molecule: ribosomal RNA, 588 nt
Filed under: uncultured bacterium
Lineage: Bacteria
Description: partial 16S ribosomal RNA
Rfam family: Bacterial small subunit ribosomal RNA
Source: RNAcentral
UGGGGAAUAUUGGACAAUGGGCGCAAGCCUGAUCCAGCAAUGCCGCGUGUGUGAAGAAGGCCUUCGGGUUGUAAAGCACUUUUAUCAGGAGCGAAACGCUGUCGGCUAAUACCCGGCGGAACUGACGGUACCUGAGGAAUAAGCACCGGCUAACUUCGUGCCAGCAGCCGCGGUAAUACGAGGGGUGCAAGCGUUAAUCGGAAUUACUGGGCGUAAAGCGUGCGUAGGCGGUUUCUUAAGUCUGCUGUGAAAUCCCCGGGCUCAACCUGGGAAUGGCAGUGGAUACUGGGAGGCUAGAGUGUGUCAGAGGGUGGUGGAAUUCCCGGUGUAGCGGUGAAAUGCGUAGAGAUCGGGAGGAACAUCAGUGGCGAAGGCGGCCACCUGGGACAACACUGACGCUGAGGCACGAAAGCGUGGGGAGCAAACAGGAUUAGAUACCCUGGUAGUCCACGCCCUAAACGAUGCGAACUGGAUGUUGGUCUCAACUCGGAGAUCAGUGUCGAAGCUAACGCGUUAAGUUCGCCGCCUGGGGAGUACGGUCGCAAGACUGAAACUCAAAUGAAUUGACGGGGUCAUAGCUGUUUCCUG